This 465-nucleotide ribosomal RNA is filed under the name uncultured bacterium. RNAcentral describes it as "partial 16S ribosomal RNA". It matches the Rfam family "Bacterial small subunit ribosomal RNA", at positions 338 to 795 of the family's 1533-position model. The record is from RNAcentral.
CCUACGGGCGGCAUCAGUGGGGAAUAUUGCGCAAUGGGCGAAAGCCUGACGCAGCGACGCCGCGUGAGGGAUGAAGGUCUUCGGAUCGUAAACCUCUGUCAGCAGGGAAGAACGGUCACUGUGCUAAUCAGCAGUGAAUUGACGGUACCUGCAAAGGACGCACAGGCUAACUCCGUGCCAGCAGCCGCGGUAAUACGGAGGGUGCGAGCGUUAAUCGGAAUUACUGGGCGUAAAGCGCUCGUAGGCGGUAUGUCAAGUCAAGGGUGAAAUCCCCGCGCUCAACGUGGGAACUGCCUUUGAAACUGGCAAACUUGAGUGUGUGAGAGGAUAGUGGAAUUCCAGGUGUAGGGGUGAAAUCCGUAGAUAUCUGGAGGAACAUCAGUGGCGAAGGCGACUAUCUGGCACAUAACUGACGCUGAGGAGCGAAAGCGUGGGUAGCAAACAGGAUUAGAUACCCUAGUAGUC